Molecule: ribosomal RNA, 433 nt
Filed under: Dysmicoccus brevipes
Lineage: Eukaryota; Metazoa; Arthropoda; Insecta; Hemiptera; Pseudococcidae
Description: partial large subunit ribosomal RNA
Rfam family: Eukaryotic large subunit ribosomal RNA
Source: RNAcentral
ACCAAGGAGUCUAACGUGCGCCCGAGUCGCGGGGUGUCGUGCAGUCCGGCGGCGUUCUUUCGAGGGCGUGGUCGGCUGCUCGUUACAAUACGAAACCCGUCUCGUUUUACGAAAGGCGCAAUGAAAGUGAAUUUAGGGGAAGAUGACGUUACCGAGUUCACGUUUCGCGCUCUUGUAGCGCGGCCGGUCGUCCGCAUUCCCAGGGCGUUCCAACGGCCCGGCGGCGUUGCGGAUCGUCGUUCCCUCGGGGGCGGCGGUCGGGCGUCGUCGAACCGGAGCGCACCUAUGGCGUGCACGUUGGUACCCGAAAGAUGGUGAACUAUGCCCGGCCAGGAUGAAGUCAGGGGAAACCCUGAUGGAGGUCCGCAGCGAUUCUGACGUGCAAAUCAAUCGUCUGAGCUGGGUAUAGGGGCGAAAGACUAAUCGAACCAUC